UCUUCUGUGGCUCAGAUGGUAAAGAAUCUGCCUGCAAUGCAGGAUAUCCAGGUUCAAUCCCUGGAUCAAGAA
RNAcentral lists this transfer RNA (72 nucleotides) under Bos taurus (domestic cattle). It matches the Rfam family "tRNA". Rfam says of the family: Transfer RNA (tRNA) molecules are approximately 80 nucleotides in length. RNAcentral also lists the same sequence under 3 other names. The record is from Rfam by way of RNAcentral. Lineage: Eukaryota; Metazoa; Chordata; Mammalia; Artiodactyla; Bovidae.